Non-coding RNA from Malus domestica (apple), 1988 nucleotides. NCBI's taxonomy places the organism in Eukaryota, Viridiplantae, Streptophyta, Magnoliopsida, Rosales, Rosaceae. The record is from RefSeq and is a predicted model, not a curated record.
UGUAUUGCUUGUUAAAUUCGGCCUCCCAAUUUUGAAGUUACAUUUACGUUUUGAUAUUAAUCUUUCUUUUUUGCACAGUAAUUUGAAUUCCUCCAUUAUAGUUUAGAUUAUAUAUAUCUAUUAGAUUUUCAUGAGAGGUAUUAGCAAACUUCUUUUGCCGCAAAUCGCAGAGCACAUGAACUUUGUUAUGAUGGGAAUGUUUCCAUUAUUUUCAUAUUUCUACAUCUCCAAAAUCAUUGAAUCUGCCCAUAUGCAUUCAGAAAAUGCUUUUGACCAGCCAAUGGACUGGAAUUCCCAUAUGUUUAUUUUAGUUAACAAGUUCAUUUGAAAUCAAAUCAACAAUUAGCAAUCCUUUUGUAGCCAUUGAAGUUGUAAGCAUGUGAAAACAGAAUCAAAAUCUUUGUGUACUAAACUAAUUGAUUGCCAAUUUUGUAGAUGUCUCACCUGAUUAGAACCCGGAGGCCGAUGACUUCUACACCUAGUCCGACGGCUACACCUAGUCCGACGACUAUACUUACUAUUGCCGCCACUGCUCCAGCAGAGAUGGACCAUAAGCCAGUCAAUCCAGUUCACUCAGAUGGUCCUUCAGUCCCACAGGCGCAGGCAUCAUCGACUUCUUCGGUGACAUUACCUAUUAGCGCCAGACGAACUCACCGACGCCCCCGCACUGUGGACCAGAUGUCGCCAUCGGGAUCCACAACUGAUGCCUCCAAUAUACGAUCAGCGAAGAAAAACACUCGAGGACCUUGUCGGCAAUUGAAGACGGGGAAGGUCACUCGGGUGACCAACGGUCGUAUCCCAAUCGGAUAUGAUGAGUGACAUCGGGCAGCACCAACGAUGGAGCAGCAUAGUGCAUUGGCCCACGACAUUGGGCAUGUCGUGCGGACCUUUUGCCCUAUGCUGUGGAAGUCUUGGAAGGCGAUGCCGGAUGAGACGAAGAUUACGCUGCGCAAUCAAUUGUCCAUAAGCUACAAUUUGGAGCACAUGGACGAGGACAAGUUCGCAUAUGUCAAUCAGCUCUUCUCCGAAUGCUACAAGCAGUGGAAGAGUGACAUGCACCAAUGCUUCCAGGAGUUUGAUGAUCUGCAGGUCGCUCUUGAUGAGGGAUGUCCGAAGGAGUUGGAGGACCGACAAGAUAGUUGGGUUUGACUUUGCGGUCAUUUUAGUGACCUAACAUGUGAAGGCGAAGGCGAACAAGAUCAAUCGAGAGAAGAGGACUCUUCUCCACCAUUCGGGUUCGAGGCCUUUCUCCUACAGGAUGGAGGGGCGACGGAAGGAGGGUUCAAAAUUUUCGAAGAUCGAUGUUUUUGCUGACGUUUAUGUUCGGCCUGGGAAUGAGUUGACCUAGUCCCUUCAUGCAACAAUGGUGGAGAAGCGACAAGUGGUGUUUCAGGAGUCCGCCUCCCACCUUCCCCCGGACACGCUGAUCGAGUUUGUGGAUCCCCCUGAGGAUGCAGGGUUUCACAUCGUCACUAAGACGUUGGACUAGAAUUUCGGUCGGAGGCCAGGGACAUAUUGUCGGGGGAUAGGAAAUGCCAGGCGUCGGGAGACUGGAGCCUCGUCAUCCUCGCAGUCAAAGACCAAGGUUACGGUUUUGAUGCAGGAAGUCGCCGGGCUGAGGAGUGAGCUGGCAUCGUACAAGUCUCAAAUGUCAAUGCUUAUACAAGCCAUCAAUUCCUCUGGAAUACAUCUCCCCGGUUUUUCUACACCAUCGCCCUCACAUCCCUUCCACACCGAGCAAGCAUAGCAAUCAGGCCCGUCGACCUCCGACCCUAUCCUCAACCAGCAACAAGAUUACCAAGCACUUCCGAAUGACAUGCCUAUAGAUUUUGCGUCUUUAUUUUCGUAGUUUUGUUCCUUUUUUUUUAACUUUACAUUUGUACGUACAUUUUAUGAAAUCUUUUUUUUUCCUUUUAUUCUUUUUUUUUAAUUAAAAAUUACACGUGCGCGACGACGAAAUGUCGUUGCGCAACAAGUUUUGAGACAAA